This 76-nucleotide transfer RNA is filed under the name Pasteurella canis. RNAcentral's name for it is "tRNA-Ala(ggc)". It matches the Rfam family "tRNA". From Rfam's summary of the family: Transfer RNA (tRNA) molecules are approximately 80 nucleotides in length. Their secondary structure includes four short double-helical elements and three loops (D, anti-codon, and T loops). Further hydrogen bonds mediate the characteristic L-shaped molecular structure. tRNAs have two regions of fundamental functional importance: the anti-codon, which is responsible for specific mRNA codon recognition, and the 3' end, to which the tRNAs corresponding amino acid is attached (by aminoacyl-tRNA synthetases). tRNAs cope with the degeneracy of the genetic code in two manners: having more than one tRNA (with a specific anti-codon) for a particular amino acid; and 'wobble' base-pairing, i.e. permitting non-standard base-pairing at the 3rd anti-codon position. The record is from RNAcentral. RNAcentral also lists the same sequence under 2 other names. Lineage: Bacteria; Pseudomonadati; Pseudomonadota; Gammaproteobacteria; Pasteurellales; Pasteurellaceae.
GGGGUUAUAGCUCAGUUGGGAGAGCGCUUGAAUGGCAUUCAAGAGGUCGUCGGUUCGAUCCCGAUUAACUCCACCA